UGGGGAAUAUUGCGCAAUGGGGGAAACCCUGACGCAGCAACGCCGCGUGAGUGAGGAAGGACUUCGGUCUGUAAAGCUCUGUUAAUGUGGAAAAAUGGUAGUUGGUCUAAUAGGCCGAUUAUUUGAUGGUACACAUAGAGGAAGCACCGGCUAACUUCGUGCCAGCAGCCGCGGUAAUACGAAGGGUGCAAGCGUUGUUCGGAUUUAUUGGGCGUAAAGCGCGCGUAGGCGGACCUGCAAGUCAGAUGUGAAAUCUCGGGGCUCAACCCCGAAACUGCGUCUGAAACUACAGGUCUAGAAUCUUGGAGGGGGAAGGGGAAUUUCGCAUGUAGGGGUAAAAUCCGUAGAUAUGCGAAGGAACACCAGAGGCGAAGGCGCCUUCCUGGACAAGUAUUGACGCUGAGGCGCGAAAGCGUGGGGAUCAAACA
This 428-nucleotide ribosomal RNA is filed under the name uncultured bacterium. RNAcentral's name for it is "bacterial SSU rRNA". It matches the Rfam family "Bacterial small subunit ribosomal RNA", at positions 355 to 774 of the family's 1533-position model. The record is from RNAcentral.